This 253-nucleotide ribosomal RNA is filed under the name uncultured bacterium. RNAcentral describes it as "partial 16S ribosomal RNA". It matches the Rfam family "Bacterial small subunit ribosomal RNA", at positions 524 to 776 of the family's 1533-position model. The record is from RNAcentral.
UACGUAGGGGGCAAGCGUUGUCCGGAAUCAUUGGGCGUAAAGAGCGUGUAGGCGGCCCGGUAAGUCCGCCGUGAAAGUCCAGGGCUCAACCCUGGAAUGCCGGUGGAAACUGCCGGGCUGGAGUCCGGAAGAGGCGAGUGGAAUUCCUGGUGUAGCGGUGAAAUGCGCAGAUAUCAGGAGGAACACCAAUGGCGAAGGCAGCUCGCUGGGACGGUACUGACGCUGAGACGCGAAAGCGUGGGGAGCGAACAGG